UUGGGAUAAACUUUCUUUAAAAACGUCACAAAAUCAACAAGUAAGGGAGGAUGAACAAGUAAUUUAGAGAAAAUUCUAGGAUUAGUUGUUUCUAGGUUCUUCGACGAGAAUAUUUUUUAGCAAGAAUACACAAUCACAUAAAUUUCAACUUCAAUCGUAAUUCCACCAUAACACAACCACAAAACACAGGCAAAACGAAUUAACAAUUCGCAGGUACACAAUCAUUAAAAUAGGGUUUUGGCAUAAGGUUCUUAGAUUUUCAAUUUAGGUGAUUGAAAGGGUUUAGGUUUUAAAAUUUGAUCAAAAGGUUAAGUGGAAGACAUAAGCAUAUUUUGGUCUUAGGUGAUUUGGACAGAGACGAGAGGCUCUACUAGUAGUAGAAGAUUUUAGUUUUCACUUUUAGAUCGAGGCUUUUCUUGGCCUUUUUUGCUAAAACUAAUUGUAUAGGAAGGAAAAGGGAAUCAAGUAGAAUUUUUGUCAUGAAAUUUGGUGAUAAUCCGACAUCGAUGAACAGCGAAUAGAAGUGAAGGUAGGGAGCUGCAACAAAGGAGGUUGGCUGGGUUCUGGGUUGUCUGGUAUUAUUCUCGGAUGCUAUUGAAUUUUUAGUAAAAAGGGGGAAAAUAAUAGAAGAGAGAGAAGAUGGAAGAAAAACGAGGACUCAAAAAACAUUUCGGCUAUUUAAGAGAGUUUGAAACGCUGCCGUUUUGAGAUAGAAAGAAAGAAGGCUUGACCCGUACCUAACCCAUAUUUAUGACUCGUGCUCGGACCCGUAAACACCCAACUUUUAUAUAUACAUAUAUAUAUAUAUAUAUAUUUGCCAAUUAUUUUUAGUUUUUAUUAAUUUUCUUGUUAUCUUAUUUAGUUCAAUUUUUUUUUUGUUUUUCUUAUCUAUUUGUUUUAAAUGUUUAGAUUUUUGAAUUUUUUUAAAUAUUUGAUAAGUAGAUGAAAUGUACAUAUAGGGUAAAUAAUAAUUAAUAAAUUAAGUAUAUUGUAUUCUCAUAAUGUUAUUUAUAAAAAAAAUUUAAGAGUAAAUGAAAAUUAGUUCAAUGAUGCAAUUCUAAAAAAUCAUUAUUGGUUGAUUUUUUAUAAUUUUUUAUGUAAGAGUUUUUUUUUUUUUAAUUUGAAUAGAUUGAUGAAAAAUUUAGAAGAAAAACUUUAAAAAAUAAUUGAUAUUUAUUUUCAAAUAAAAAUAUAUAAAAUAAAAUUUUCAAAAUACAAGAAAAUUACUUCAAUAAUGGAAUUCUUAAAAAUAAAUAUUGGUUGAUUUUUUAAGAAAUUUCUAAGUGUGGCAUUUUUAGAAAACAUUAGACAGGUUGAUGAAAAAUUUAGAUAAAAAUUUCUAUGACAAUAAUUGAUAUUUAUUUUCAAGAAAAAAGAAUAAAUUUUGAAAAUUAGAGAAUUAAACCAACAAACCUUUCCAUAAAACGUUAAAUAAAUCUGAUAAUGGAACUUCUUAAAAAAAAUGAUUGGAAUUCUUAAAUACUUUUGAGAUUAAGUAAAGUUUAUUUUUAAGAAUUCUACCUAAUAGAUGGAAAAAAAAACCUAAAAAAUUCUAUUUUAUAUUUCAAUAAUAAAUUAAAAAUAAAAAGAUCAUUUGUAUCAAGAUAAUUUUUAGGAUAAUUUAAAAUUAAUUGGUAUCAUUUUAUGAUGGUUGUUGUAAGAUGUUAAAAUUUUCCUCACACAUAAUCAAACUUUCAAAUUUAAUUUUGAUAAGUAAAUUAGAAUUUAUUCAUUUUAAAAACUCUUAGUUAGCUUAUGAUAUCUUUAAAAGAAUGGAGUAGUUAGGUAAUCAAUUGCAAUUAAAUAAAAAAAAAAUUAGUAACAUCUUCUGGAUCUGUAUCUAGCAAUUAAGUUUUUAGAUUUUUACGUUAUGACAUAUAAUAAUUUUUUUGAAUUUAUUGAUUGAUUAGUGUUUAAUGUUUCUAUUAGAAGAUGCAAUAAUUUUUUUUUUUUUGCAAACCCCUACAUUUGAUCUAAGUUAAAUACUAGUGAAAUUUAAUUAAAGGAACUAACUAUUAUAGAGAUUGAAACUAACCUUUCCAUUGUGCACCAAUAUCUCUUCUAAUUCCAUCAUUUUGUCAAUAAUCUCUGCUUUGUCAGAGUUCUUUUUUGUUCGUUGAUCCAAAAACAUUUCUUCUGUAGGUUUAACCUAAUAAUAGUGUAUGCACAAAGUUUAAUUUUCAUGGUUUCAUCCAAAUUCAAAUAGCAAAAAAAAAAAAGCUUUUAUAAUACACUCAACAUGAAUUUGCAUACAAUUAAAGGACUAUUAUUUAUUUGUUCGUGUCUUACCUCGGGAUGGACACAAUCAAUAUGUGCAAUAUAAGCGCAUUCUUCACAAAAAUAAAUAUCAUGUUCCGGAUUCCUUUCUGUCUCGCACAUAUCACAAUAAUAAUCUUCCGAAUCAUCUUCAACAAAUGAAUUUUUAAGCACAAGUGGAUGCAAGUGACGACGGUGUUCAACACUAGGCGGUAGUGGAAUGCACUCAACAUGUAUAUAGAAAUCACACUUUAUGCAACCGAAAAAGGAAUCAUCGCAAUCUUGAUGACAAGCAUUACAAGAUAUCUUACUGAGAAUGCUCUUCCCCAAAUGUAGAAGUUGGUGAGGAUGGCAAUCGUGCUUUAUAGCCCGAGUUUGGUACUUAGCACAUGAAACGUGCACGGUAACAUCACAUUGAUUACAGUAGAAGCCGAUACCUUUAACUUCCUCCUUACAAGCACUGCAUGUAUAAGAAGGACCCUUAGGGAUCGGUCGAGGGAAAAGAAUAUGUUGUGGAUGAAAUGGACUUUGAAGUACUUGUCUCGGCAUGUCAUUUACACACGAUUCAUGAAUGACAAAUCGACAAGGAAUGCAGGUAUAGAUUAGAGUAUCAUGGCGUUUUUGUUUGCAUGCCGAGCACUUGAACAUUUCUUUCCAUAAACUCAUAAAAAUAAUUUUUUCUUCCUUCGUCAAAAAAGAAAACUUGCUGCGAGUCAGUUGAUGAUUAUGGCUGAAAUGGUGAAUUCUUGUUUUAAUUUGCCUCCUUUCCUGCGGGGCCUUAUGAGUAGGCAGCUUACAAUCAUUUGAAAUAGCCAUAGCGCAUUUAACGUCAAGGUUGAACAUACAGUACAUACAGCUGUAACUGAUUAAACAUGCUUGCAGUAUUGCACAUUGGUCACACACAAUCAAGUUGAACACAGUGAAUCUUAGAGGGUGGGGGUGAAAAGCAUCUCUUCGUAUUUCAGGGGGCAAUUCAGCGCAUGAUUUGUGCAAAACAAAAUCGGGACAUGUUUCACAAAUAUAUGCCGGACCAGAAAUGAUAACCAAGCACGCAAAGCAGAUCACUGUAUCAUUCUCAUUGCCCACCUCUCUAAAGGUCAAGUUGUGAUUGUGAAGAAAAUGUUUAAAGUCCAUGUUAUGUUUACAGGACAAAGAAAAAAAGGGUAGAACAAUGAAAGAGUGAGGGGAUUAAUUGCAAGUUGAAGAGUUCUUGAACAAAGAAAAUUUGUUGCUUUUAACCUCUUUUCCUUCAACGACGAAUGCUUUUUAUUUAAUUUCCACACAUGACUUUGCGUAAAUCUUAGUUUAGGAAUCAGUCUAAAAUGCUUACGAUUGGAACAUAAAUUUGUUAAAAUUUUGCCUUUUCUAUCUAAUUUUGAGUGGUUGCUUAAGAAAAGUUGUAUUUGAUUGGGGUACAUUUGACCUAUAAUUCUUUUAUGAUAAUAAAGUACAAUUAGCUAAUUAUUAAAAAUAAUUUUAUAAGAGUUCAUUAUUUAUAAGCAUAGAAUCUACAUAAUAUUCUAAUGAAUUGUACACAUUUUUGAAUUACACUAAAUUAAUUAUAGUACAAUAAUAUUUAAAUUGAACCAUAAAAUGCACAAGCAAUAAAAAUAAACUCCAUCUAUUUAUCUAUCUAUGUAAAUAUUCAAUUUUCAUUAUACACCAACAUAGUUAUAUAAAAGGGUGUUAUUGCUAGUCAUGCUGCUAGCUCUAUCCCUUUGAAUAUUAAUAAAAUCUAUUUCUACAAAAAUAUAUAUAAAGGGGCUAACUAUCUAAUAUAGUUAUUAGUUACUAAUUAUUAAAAAAUUAACUUGUAAAUAUUUAUAAAAAUUAUGAAAUAAAAUUAAAUAUUUGAAUAGUAAUUACUUUCCGAAAAGAAAUAAAAUUCAUAUAAAGUUUUAUAUAUCUACAUUACACGCUAUACAUCAGCCAAUACAACUUUUUUUUUUUGGAGAAAAGGAAAAAGUUUGCAUAUGAUCAUUUUGCUAUAUGACAGGUAAGCACAUGAUUAGCCUUACACCAAACAAAUGUGUAGUUAGAAAAUGAUAAUGAUAAUGAAAUAAUGAGUAUAAAUUAAAGACUAUAAUUUGAAGGUAACAAUAACAACUUUAUACUAUUUAGCUUAUUUAUCAAGAAUCAUCUUGAAUAUUUGAUUCAAUGAUAUGUAUAUAUAUAUUUUUUCAGUUUAAUAAAUAAUUUUAAUUCUUUUUCUUCCAAAAAAAAAAAAAAAAGGUUUUCCACCAAGCGAAGCACAAAUUCCUGCCUUAGGCUAUUAGAGGCACUUUGCUUGACAAAUAGAACAACAAUUUGCAUAAAGAUAAUAGCUUCAAUCAAGGGAAAGUAACAUAUUCUAAAGAUCUAAUUAUUCUUUACUAUUGCUUUACUUAUAAAAUAUGUGAUUCUUAUUUCUAUACAAAGUGCAGGAAUCUUGUCCAACCAGGACCUUUGUUUAAGCGUACGGCUCAAUAGCUAAACUUUUGGGAGUAACAUAUAUUGGAUAAUUAGGAUACCCUUCCUCCACCAAUUUCUAAACAAACAGACUUACUCUUGGAAUGUUAAGAUAUUAAUCAACUUUUUAAUUUCCUCCCACAAAGUAAUAGUGCAAUCCUACAAAUUCAUCAUUUGUCAUAAUUGAAGGUAACCAAUUUUGUAUUAUGGAAUAAAUCAUUUCUUUUACGAUGCAAUGAAGUUUAAUCUUUGAAUUCUUCUUCUUCUUCUUCUUCUUCUUCUUCAAAAAGGGCAAAUUCCUGCCUUGACCUUUGAGCUAGCAGAGGUACUUUCCUUGACAUAUACAACAAAACAAUUCCCAUAAUUAAUAUAUCUAGAUCCCUUGCUUUUGAUUCCCUUUAACCUCUAGGUCUCUAGUCAAUGUUAAUCUAUAAAUUGCGCAUAACUUCAACCAAACGAAAAUGUGUUAUAUAUAUAUAUAUAUAUAUAUAUAUAUGUAUGUAUACAUAUUCUAAGGACCCAAUCAUUCUUUGAUGCCUCACUCAAGCAAGAUUCUUCUAAGCUCAUUGGAGCUGUAUUAAUUACCAAGUACAAAAUGUUGGUCUAAGAGAUGGAUCAAAUGUCAAAAAUUAGGAAGGACAUCAUGUGCAGGAAUCCAACGAUGCCUUCCAUCUACCAAUGCAAGCCCCCAAGCAUUUUCUUGAUCAAUCCCUUAUUAUUAUUUAACUAGGGGUGUGAUUCAAGGAUCUUAUUGACAAUUUGAGACCUAAAGCUUAUAUUUAUAAAUUUGAAGUUUAACUCAAUAAAUUUAUAAAGUUCAAAUUUUAAUAUUUACAAUUCCUUUCUUUAAGUUGUAGUAUCAUUUGUAAUAAAAAAAAAAAAAAUAAAAAAACCUUAUAUCUAUAAACGUUUCACAUAUCUAAUUUAUAUAAAAAUAUAUUUUUUUUAGUUUCAUCAACUCAUAGUUCACAUUAACUUGAAAAUGUAAAAUGUGCAUUUAAAAUUCUUAAUAUUACUAAAUAUUAAUUUCAUUUAUUAAUUUUUUUUAGUUUCUAUUAUAAAUUCUUAAUAUUAAGAUUAGGGAAGAAAAAAUGUGCAUUUAAAAUUAAUUUGUAUUUAACAAAUAUUACUAAAUAUUAAAAAAUGAAAAAUAUAUAUAUGUGGAUUGUCAAAGUUAAAAUCUACAAAAGUGUCUGGCAUUAAAGAUCAUUAAAAAGAUCCUAAUAAUUCAAAAACGAAAGCUGUUAUUAAUUAAAAAGUUGAAGGGAGCAAAUCCAUCGAUCAAUGAUAUUCUGUCUACUGUCUAGCCUUGGAAUGAAUUUCAUAUGCCUAUAAUCACUGAAAAUCAUCAACAGUUCAUCGAUGCAUCACCAAUCUCUUUCGUGCACCAGAAUAAUGGUAGUUAGGCUUCAGAAGAUGCAUGAUGAAUUAAAACUGACCAAUUUGAAUGCAAAAGCAGGAUGCAAAUUGGAGAUCAUUUACACAAUUCCUCUUCGCUAUUACCAUUGAAGCAUUGGUAAUUGACAUGUACAUGAACAUGUUACAAUAUUGAAGGCCACUAAAAGACCAUAAAAUUGUUUCAUAUUCCUCUCAUUACUCCUAAGUACUAAGCUAAAAUAUUAACUUACGGUUCACUGUCCGAGCUAACCAUGUAAUCUUAACACAGUGGUAUAACAAAAAUAAAAAUAUCCUGAGCUUUGUGCCCACAUCUGAUUAUGAGAUAAUAUGAUGCCUUCUUUUAAAAAAAAUGCAGGACAGUCCACAAGUUUCAUGGUAGGAGAAUAUACACUAACCUUUUCGUUUCACAUCUCUGCAAAAUUCACUUCCACAACAACACUGGAAUGCCUCUAUUGGGGGCUCAGGAUCAUUAAAGUCAAUCCCAUAGUCCCGCAAUAAUGUACAGCAUGGCUUAAUGCUUAAUAGUAAGGAAAUAACAUAUCUUCGCCAAAGUUCUAAACUGUCAAGCAGGCAUUUGUCUUAUUUUCAUAUCACAUGUUUAUGAGUACUUAAAGUCUUAAAAAAUGGACAACAACAGAUGAUAACUUUAAGUUUAGCAAAUAGCAACAUGAUAAACAUUUGUGAACCAUACAUUCCAAAUAAGUAAAUAAAAUAAAUGAAAAUUUUGUUUGUAGGCUAAUUUACCCAUGUUUGCUCUUCUGAAGCUCUCACAUCUCCGGUAGUAAAAAGGGCAAGCUGUUCAUACAAACACAAAAUAAAUAAAUAUAUUAACUCUUCAAAUGCAGUUUAGUAAUGAAGGUAAACACCAGCUUGCUUUGCUUCUACCCCCAUCAAUCGCAAAAGUUUGUUAUCAGUCCGAUUCAUGCAUGAUAAUAAUGGCGAUCAGGUCUCCACUUCAACUGGAAUGUCAAUCAAGUUUGCACCUUAAAAAUAAAAAACAUGUUGACCAUCAACCAUUGCCAGAAAAGUACAAAAUAAAAAUAAAAUAUUGAAGGGAAGGCAGAGUUUUACUGCACAGCAAAUUAAGAGGUUAUGAGAAAUCAUGAAAGACAGUUAAAAAGAAAACCAGCAUAUCAUUAUGCAACAGUUACAAAUGUUAAGUACAAGAAUCUACAACAACAUUAAGAAUUGUUGUUUCGGGAUAUAACAUAUGUUUCAAUUUCAGCAAUAGAACAAUAGUGUAUCAUUCAGAACCCAAAACAUAAAUUACGGCCAAGGUUAAAGAAUUCAGUUCUCCAAGUCAAUAUCAAUUUAAAAUGUCCCAACUACUAAUAAAGAAAACAUAUAUAGAAGGUUCUUGGCAAUAUGUCUCACAUAACAACUUGCGAGGCUAUUGCUACAAAAUAUAAAUGUGAGCAACAUUUAAAUUCUUUGAAACGAUUGCAACUUACGUAAAAAUGUAAGCUAUUCAAAUGAUGAAUGCCAUGACCACGCUAACACAAUUUAAUAGACAUUUCCGUUUCAUGACUUCAGCAUUUAAUACUUCAUCAAAGAGCAUGCUCCUUUACUUUCCAUCUAUUAUUUGUAAUGAGAGGUAUGAAUAUAUUUAGGCGCUCUUACUAUUCAUGAACGUUUAUGAUAUUACAAAAUGUACCAGGAUUUCCCCUGUUAAAAGGCAUCUAACAGUACCAAAAGAAAAAAACCAGGCCAAGAUUGCCAUAUAGUACUUGAGAACAUAUAUUUAUUUGGGCUCAAGAAAAUUACCUAUGAUUGAUAAACCUAGCAGCAUUUCCGUACAAGGUUGCAUCGAAACAAAGUGCCUCUUCAUCGUUUAAAACUUUCUCUGAGCCCCAGUCUGCAUCCAGUGUAACUGGAUAUGUAUGUCUCUCUCUGCCACUGCCUUUCACAUUCCGCUCAUAUGAGUCAGUGUUGGUCAAGAUCUCCCCAACAUACUCACAAACAAAGGUUCUUCCGGCAAGUCCUGGAGUGUCUUAAGACCCCAACCUUUUCUUUCAUGAGUCAAGAACACCUAAAGUCUAAAAGCAUAGUCAAUACCAAUACAGAAUCCUAACUUAUCAACAAAAGUAGACCAUGCAUGUAUUAUGUAAUAGAUGAAGCAACUGUGGAGUGAAUAGUGGUACGAUUAGUAGAAUUAGCAGAAAACCUAUAGUACCAUAUUUUCACAAUGUCUUUUAAAAUCACAUAUAAAUGUAUUUUAGUAAUAAAAAAGAAAUCAAUUAAUAGCUUUUCAGUAGCAAUAUUAAUGCUCCAUACCUUAAGGCGAUGUAAGACAUUAAGUUGUAUAUGAAAGGCAGCUUCUAAGAGCUAAAUUGAAGCCAUUUUGCAAAGUUGCAUUUCUACAAUUGAAAUAGAAAGGACAAUUGAAUACAACAAAAACGUCUCCACUUAGUGGAGAAGCAAAUUGCUGCUUAACAAACUGUAACAGCCUAACAAAACCCUAGAGAGCUUUACCUACAAUUUGCAUGCAAUACCUCUCUGUACUACUCGAUUUUCACAUUUUCUCCAGCAUUCUUUAAUGAAUUUCCUGACCAAAUGGUCCUUGCAUAUUUUAGGUUUAUACUCAUUUUUAGAACUCUCAAAUGGACAAUCCUGACAAUAAACAAAGUGAUGCCCACGAGGCUCAUGUUUCAUAGACAUACAGGCUCUUAGAAGAAUUAGAAAUUCUUCUCCUGGUUGACCUUCUGGUGUGUAAGCAAACUCUCCACCAGUUUCAUGAGCACAAGCACAUGGUAUUAGCAUUGAGAGACAGUCUCCCGAACGACCUGAACAGCGAUGCUCAUCUGCCACCGGAGCCAGUGAGAUGUGCACAUAAGCAUCUUGAUAUAUUACAUUGUCUCGCAUGUAAGUAAACUUUGGCAGAUACCAAUGAAAUUUGCACAAUUUCUUUACCAAUGAAAUUUGCACAAUUUCUGUGCCUUUGGUUAUAUCAGAAAUGAUAUAAAAAGGCCUUUACUCGACACAAGUAGCAGGUUGCUGCUGAACUUUGUUAUAUGAAUUUGAAAACCCAGAAGAACUGUAAUGCUUCUUAUUCAAAAACGUAAUUCCCUGUUGAAGGUUUAUCAUAGGCUUUUCAUUCUCUUCAGGAGAUAAUAUUUGGCUUGCGUUGCCCUUCGCAGAUGAAGACUGAUCUUCCAGCUCUUGCAUGCACAAUCUUUAAGACAAUCUGCUAAAUCCAUCAUGCUCCACAACAACAUUUUCCUUAUCCUCUACUCCCUGUAAAGGACAGAUUAACUACCCAUUAAGUGCAAAAGGAAAAAAAAGAGAUUCUUAAAAAUAAUUUGGAACAACUGCCACCAUAAUUAACGUAUUAGUAAAAGCUACCAUUGUCAUCAAUCAUUUCAUGCCGAACUGACAAUAGGAAAAAUAAAGAUAGGUCCACAAAAUAAAUAAACAGCUAAGGAGUGAAAUGGAACAGCGCAUUAAAAAUCGAAUAACACAAUAAAAUACUUUAUCUUCGUUGAGUUUAAAAUAUCCAUCUAUCAGUGCCUGGUAGUCUUCAGACUCUAUUAGUUCCCAGUUCUUAUUAAACACUUAAAAGAGGUGCUUCAGCUCUGGUUUCACCUCAUGAUCAGGAGUACCUAAAGCUCUUGUUCCAUUAAAGGUCAUGCGAGCUCUUUCAUUUAUAGCCAUCAGCAAGGAUUAAACGUAACAAAAAUCUUUAUUUUCUACUCGGCAACCACCCAAUUCCUUCUCCUUCAUAUAUACUCCUAUAGUCUUAAAUAUUUGUAGUCUGCAGCAGUUGAGGUUGUCAGAUUAACAAAGCAAAAACAAAGCUGCUUAAUUUGACCCAAAAUGAUCUGAAUCGGAUGAUCCGAACACGAAUAAUCCAAGUGUCAAACCAGAAAUUACCCACAUCCAAAAUGACACAAAAUUUUCUUCAAACCCAAGGUGAUUUAACCCAAACAUAACUUAAUCCGUCGAAUUUCCAGCUCUAAUCUCAAUCAAAUAAUGAAAUUUUAACAAACAUUGAACAGAUGGAGACCUCACCAGAUUCCAUAAUAUUUGAAUAAGUUGAAAAUAUACACAUAAAAGUAUCCACUUUCAUUUCAGUUUCCUUAUGAGCCAAAAUAAUUCUUUCCUUCAAUUGUUCACUAGCUCUAUUUGGUAUAUGGGGAAAUUUUUAAUCCAAAAUGGUAUUAUUAUAAAUAAGAACAUUUAGCAUGAAAAUUUUUUUCUUUCCUACUUUCCAUUCUUGCUACCAAGCAAAUCCUAGGAAAGGAAAGAUUUUUCUGACAGUUCAUUACUUAGUACAUAAGAAACCAAAUCAUCAAGUUCCAAAAUACUCCCAAAAAACCCUAUGAAAAAGAAAAGAAAAGACAAAUAUUUUAACUCUGUUUUUUUAAACAAUCAAGUAUUUCAAACCUGAAUGAACAUCAAAAAGAUGGAAAUAAACAAUCUUUGAUCACAUUGCUAACAACAUACACAUAACAUGUAAAAACCAAAAUUACCAAAACGAACAGACUUUUCCUGCUUGGUUACCAGGAAAAUGCAGGGAAAAGAAAAAAAAAAAAAGGAUUGCAGCUUUAGACAUUAGAGUACCCCCCGAGUCCAUGUUUUUCAUAGUCCCAUUAUGACAAAACAAAUCCUUUAAUAAAACUAUCAUAGUAAUAACGAUGACGAAUAAGAGUAAAACUGAAAGAAGAACAAAAGUCACACAAAGCAGAGAAACAACCUUCUUGAAAAUUGGGUUUUUCUUUUUUUUUUUUUUAAGAGAAUGCAAGAAUACAUAAAUCACAAAUGUUUGAGAGUAUAAAACAGAAUCACAUGAAAAGGAUGUUUUGAUUUCUUCCUGAACAUGAGUAUUUGUUUUCUUUAGCAGGUCUUUUUGUCUUUUUUUUUUUAUUUGACCGAGUUUUAUUAUUAAAUUUUAAUUUUUAAUUGAAUUUUAUUAUUAAACUUCGAUUUUGGAUAUUUUAAGAUAAAGUUUAACAACAAAAUAUAUUCCUCCAAAAUAUUUUUUUAAUAAUUAAUAAAAAUUAAUUAAUUAAUAAAAACUAUAAAAAUUAAAAAAAACAACAAUUUUUAUUUUAUAAAAAAUUAAAGCUUAAAUUUUGUAGUGUUUUAGAUAUUUUUCAAGCCAUUCGUGACUAAUAAUGGGAUCUGCAGUGAUGCUUUAAGGUCAAUUUUGACCAUUAAGCAUCAAAUCUUACAUAUUGCUUCUACAAUCUUAUUUUUUAAAAUGUGUUUUUUAUGUCAAUAUUUUUUUAAAAAAAUUAACAAAAAUAAAAUAUUUUAUAGAAUAUUUUAUUCUUAUCUAUUAAAAAAUUUACAAAAUAAAAAUGAUGUGACAAGAAAAAAAUGCAAAAUAUUUCAUAAAAUAUUUUGUAUGUAUCAAAAUAAAAAUUUUAAAUAUAUAAAAAAAUAAUAUGACAAAAAAGAAAAAAAAUCCCAAAAAAGGUUUUAAAAAUGACAUUGUGAAAAAAAAAAUGUUAAAUUUAACGAGCAACUAUUAAAUUUAACCUUAGAGCAUCAUUGUUUUUGGAGAUCAUGACUUGGUGGCUUGACUGUAACUUGUAUUCAUCUUCUUCUUAAUAAAAUUCUGUUUUAAUUAAAAAAAAAAAAAACAUUGGAGCAUCUUACUGUUUUAUGGCAUCAUCAAUCACCAGCUACUUGAAUAAUAAAAGAAAGACCAAAAAGAUUUUUUUUUUUUAAAAAAGGAAAAUUUAAGCACUAUUUUUUUGUAAAAUAAAAAUUCUAUGUCAAAAUUUUUAUUUUUUAAAUAUUUUAAUUGAUUAAUUAUUUUUAAUUAUUAAAAAGAUAUUUUGAAGGAAUUUUUUUGUUAAUUUUUGUCGUAAAAUCAUUCAAAAUCAAAAUUUAUUGGUAAAAUUCAAUCAAAUUGAAAUAAAGGGGCAAAAUUCAACAUUGAGAUUAGAAUAUAAGAACGAAUUUGUCAUUAAUCCCUACUUUUUCCUGUUUUUUUUUUUUAAAUUUUUGGGUGAACGAUUUCUUCUACUUUUAUCAAAGGUGAAAUCUUGUAGAUACCAUCCCAUUUUAUGAUGGGUCAAUAGAGUUUAAGUCAGUCCGAGUCAUUUGAUUCAAUUUUUAAAACUUUUUUUUUUUUUGUAUGGUUGGAUUUUUUUGGUGGUGGGUGAUUGAUGAAGCAUUCAAUUGGUUGGAUUCAAUUUUAUAAUGGAUUUUGGUAAUGGACUGAUCAAAGUGGAUCAAGCCUUUCUACAAUCAAAAAUUCAAAACAUACAUUAAAAUAAUGAAAUUCAGGUAGAAUUUGUGUGGCAUGGACAUAAUAAUACACAAAUUUUCUUUUGCAAAAAUUCCUCUCUACCUUCACCAAAUUUAACCACCAUUCCCAAAAUCUGAUUUCUUUUCAAAAGAAAAAAAAAAUUAAGGCUUGGUUCCUUCUGAUCUUUCUUCAACAAUCUUCAACUAAUUCACUGUAUAAUAAAACAAUAAAUAUGUUGUAAGUGAUGGAAGAAAGAAAAAAUAAAAAAUGCAGUUACUUGAUCAUUGGAGAAGUAAGAAAAAUGAAGUGCACACAGUUAUUUAACAUUGAGAAAAGAAAUUUCUAUAAUAUCGAUUAGUUUUAAAAUAUUUAAAAUCAAUUCCUAAACUUAAAUACCUUAAAACUAUUUUUUAUUUUAUUUUUUAAAAUUUUAAAUAUUUUUAAUUGAAUUGCUAUCACUUGUGACAUCAAUUCAGUAAUGGAUUAAAAUAUUAUAAAUAUAAACACCAUAAACUUGAUAAUGGUAGAUUGAUAAACUGGGGUCUCAUCUAGAGAUAUCCAAUAUUGAAAAUUGAACUCGUUGAACAGAAAUUCUUUUCUUUUUCUUACAAAACACAGCGUAGAAGGAAAGAAUUUGUGUUCAACGAGUCCAAUUUUUAAUAUUGGAUAUCCUAUCAAUUUUUUUUUUUAAAUAAAGGAGAAGGAGAGAAUAAAGGAAAGAAAUGUUUAAACUUUAGAUGUAUCAUAUAUCAUUGUUAAUUUGGUGAGUCAUAUUCAAGGAACAUUGCUUUUCCCUAAAGCAUAAAAUUACUAAUAAUUAAUAUUGCUUUAACAAUUUUGCGUAUUUUUUAGACGUUAAACAAUUCAAUUAUCUGUGUUGGGAGCUAUGCUGAGCAUCUAGUCUAGCUUGUCUCGACGGCCAAUAUAAAAAAAUGCUUUUUUAAUAAAUUUACAAGUAAAAGAAAAAUUAUAAUUAUUAUCAAGUACUACAAAAUUAUAAAUACAAGAAAAAUUAUAACAAUAAUAAUCAAGAUUUAUAUUUAUGUAUAAAAAAUUAUUGAAUAAUUAAUCAAAUAAAUUGAAAUAUAACUAAAUAAAUUUAAUAUAAAAUUAAAUCAAAUCCACACAUAAUAAAAUUUUCAAUUUAAGAUAUCAGAAUUGUAAGGUGUCCUCUUUAUCACUAAAAUAAAAAAAAAAAUAUGUUUAUAUAUAUAUAUAUAUAUAUACCUAAUUUUUUUAUAAAAAAGUCAUAAUUUGUAUAUAAAAAAAUUUUAAAUAUAAAAUAUAAUAAAUAAUAAUUCUUAAAAUAAUUACAUAAAUCAAUUAAAUUAAACUAACUUAAUUCAUAAAUUUAUGUUUUAGGGAAUUCUAUUUUUUAAGUCGUCCACUUGUGAGUUUUAUAAUAUUUAAUUAUAAUUGUAUUACUAUAAUAUAAGUGGUAUAUGGCAUCACAAUUUUUUAUCACCUGGUUUCUCCAAAUUAACGUUGUUAUUAGUUACAGAAAAUGGCAAGUUAUAUAUAAUAAGAUUUUGUAAGGAGUGUUUUUACGGUGUUUUCUAAAAUUAUUAUAAUAAGUAAAUUUUUUUUGGUCAAUAAAUAAAUAUUUUUACUAAAUUUAAAAUUAUAUAUUAAUUAUUGACUAUUUAAUUUACUAAAAAAUAUUAUUAUAAAUAAAAUUUCAAUUAAUAAAAUGAAAUUUAAUAAAGAGAUGUAGGCACAAAAUCCUGCAACGCUUUCUUCUUCAAAAUUUUGGUAAUUAAGGUUGCUAAAAAGUCAAUGUUAAACAUUGACUUUGCUCAUCUUUUCUGCCUCAAUCAAAACGGUGAAAUUGUGGUGAAGGCUACCAUUUUAUUAUUAUUGCUACCCCAAAUUAAUAAGGGUGUUAUCAUGAAUUAAUCAAAUUGAGACUUUCUUUUAUUAGAACUAAUAAAACUCCAUAUAGUUAUUAUUUUUAUUUUUAAUAAAAAAUAAAGAACAGAAAUAGAAAAUAAACUAAAAAAAAAAAAAUCUUGUCAAUUGAACGAAGUCUAAGAGAUUCUGCAUAUAAUAAGUGAAAUUAUUUGUCACACAUUUCUUGGCAGGUGGUAGAAAAUGCCUGUUGCUUUUCAUUUUAUUUUUUGGUAAGAUUUAAAUAAUUUAUUCAAACUUAUUUGAUUUAGGUACUCUAAAUAGGACCAAAUAAGUGAUAAGAUAAAUAUUUAACCAUUAUUUGAUGUGUAAUAUAUAUUACAAGCAGAACUUAAAAAUCAAUUUCCCAUUUAAUUAUUCAAGAACAUUGAUGUCUAUCGAUGUCUUAUAUUGUGAACAUUUUGUGGGAGGAACAAUUUGCUCAAACAAAUCAAAUUAUAAUAGCUUUAUUUAAAUCAUUACUUUAUUUGCCAAAUACCAUACCCAUAUAUACAUAUUUUUCAUUGUGUACAGUACACUUANNNNNNNNNNNNNNNNNNNNNNNNNNNNNNNNNNNNNNNNNNNNNNNNNNNNNNNNNNNNNNNNNNNNNNNNNNNNNNNNNNNNNNNNNNNNNNNNNNNNNNNNNNNNNNNNNNNNNNNNNNNNNNNNNNNNNNNNNNNNNNNNNNNNNNNNNNNNNNNNNNNNNNNNNNNNNNNNNNNNNNNNNNNNNNNNNNNNNNNNNNNNNNNNNNNNNNNNNNNNNNNNNNNNNNNNNNNNNNNNNNNNNNNNNNNNNNNNNNNNNNNNNNNNNNNNNNNNNNNNNNNNNNNNNNNNNNNNNNNNNNNNNNNNNNNNNNNNNNNNNNNNNNNNNNNNNNNNNNNNNNNNNNNNNNNNNNNNNNNNNNNNNNNNNNNNNNNNNNNNNNNNNNNNNNNNNNNNNNNNNNNNNNNNNNNNNNNNNNNNNNNNNNNNNNNNNNNNNNNNNNNNNNNNNNNNNNNNNNNNNNNNNNNNNNNNNNNNNNNNNNNNNNNNNNNNNNNNNNNNNNNNNNNNNNNNNNNNNNNNNNNNNNNNNNNNNNNNNNNNNNNNNNNNNNNNNNNNNNNNNNNNNNNNNNNNNNNNNNNNNNNNNNNNNNNNNNNNNNNNNNNNNNNNNNNNNNNNNNNNNNNNNNNNNNNNNNNNNNNNNNNNNNNNNNNNNNNNNNNNNNNNNNNNNNNNNNNNNNNNNNNNNNNNNNNNNNNNNNNNNNNNNNNNNNNNNNNNNNNNNNNNNNNNNNNNNNNNNNNNNNNNNNNNNNNNNNNNNNNNNNNNNNNNNNNNNNNNNNNNNNNNNNNNNNNNNNNNNNNNNNNNNNNNNNNNNNNNNNNNNNNNNNNNNNNNNNNNNNNNNNNNNNNNNNNNNNNNNNNNNNNNNNNNNNNNNNNNNNNNNNNNNNNNNNNNNNNNNNNNNNNNNNNNNNNNNNNNNNNNNNNNNNNNNNNNNNNNNNNNNNNNNNNNNNNNNNNNNNNNNNNNNNNNNNNNNNNNNNNNNNNNNNNNNNNNNNNNNNNNCUGCUUUCCUUUUCCCCAGUACUGUCUCAUCAUGAGUACUGUGAGCAGCGCAUGAGACAUCAAUUUCCAAAUUGCAAUCAUUGCAAUGAUAUCUGUGGCCUCGAGAGAGAGUGAAACAUUUGUCGCAGAUGAAAUCGAUGACAUCGAAGUACAGGGUAAGGGGGUGUUGGGAAUGGAAAGAGUGUGAAAUCUGAGGAGGCAGUUGCUGUUCAGCACAAGCUGAGUGCAGCCAGAAGUUGCAGGUUUCACAAUUAUAAGCCCACCGAUCAAUUUUCUGAUUGCAUUUAUCACAACUUGCGUCUUGAUUGUUGUAAUGAUCAAACAACAAGUAGUGUUUAUGUAGGAAAGGUUUGAUGUCCAUGUCUAUUUCUCAAAACAAAGAGAUUGCUAGAAAGAUAAGAGCAAAGAGGAAUUGGGACAACUACAAGGGAUGGACGCAAUUGAAGGUAAUUCUUAUGGGUGAGCCAAAGGAUAUAUGCGGGCUGCAUGUAUAGUAGUCCUUUAAUUUAUUGAAAGACAUAGAAUAUAAUAAAACUUGAGCGUUUUGUCUAGAGUUUAAAAUGAAAUAAUACAACAAUUUACACUUGUGCUAGAUAAUAAUAGUAACUGCUUUAAGAGAUGUAAGGUCUAGAAUUUUUUUUAAUUCUUUUUUUUUUUCAAGAUUUUGUUCGGGAAUUGUUCACUUUUAAUUUAUAUAAAAAAUUAACAAUAAAUUUAUCAAUUUUAUCAAUAAAUAAAGUUUUUUAAAAAUUUUUUUGAGGGUGUUCAAAGAAUUUUUUUUUCAAAUAUUCUUAUUUUUUAAUUUUUAGUUGUACAUAAACACCUUAUCUUUACUUCUGCAUCCUCCUUUGCUUUUUCAUUGACCAAUUGUCAAAAAAAAAAAAUGUAAGUUAUAUUACAUAUAUAGAACAACGAUUUCUUGAGUGAUGGAAACAUGUAGGCUAUAUACUAGUUCUAUGCACACCUAGAAUAUGGGUAAAUGUUAAUUUAUUAUUAAGAUAAAUUUUAUAAAGAAAAAAAUUAAAAAAUGCAAUUACUUGAACAUUGGAGAAGUAAGAAAAAAGAAAUGCACACAGUUAUUUAACAUUGAGAAAAAAAAAGCUAUAAUAUCGAUUAGUUUUAAAAUAUUUAAAAUCAAUUCCUAAACUUAAAUACCUUAAAACUAUUUUUUAUUUUAUUUUUUAAAAUUUUAAAUAUUUUUAAUUGAAUUGCUAUCACUUGUGACAUCAAUUCAGUCAUGGAUUAAAAUAUUAUAAAUAUAAACACUAUAAACUUGAUAAUGGUAGAUUAAUAAACUGGGUCUCAUCUAGAGAUAUCCAAUAUUGAAAAUUGGACUCGUUGAAUAGAAAUUCCUUUCUUUCUCUUACAAAACACAGCGUAGAAGGAAAGAAUUUGUGUUCAACGAGUCCAAUUUUAAUAUUGGAUAUAUUAUCAAUUUUUUUUUUUUGGAAAGAAAGGAAAGGAGAGAAUAAAGGAAGGAAAUGUUUAAACUUUAGAUACAUCACAUAUCAUUGUUAAUUUGGUGAGCCAUAUUCAAGAAACAUUGCUUUUCCAUAAAGCGUAAAAUUACUGAUAAUUAAUAUUGCUUUAACAAUUUUGUAUAUUUUUUAGAUGUUAAACAAUUCAAUUAUCUGUGUUAGGAGCCGUGCUGAGCAUCCAGUCUAGCUUGUCUCCACGGCCAAUAUAAAAAAAAUGUGUUUUUAAUAAAAUUACUAGUAAAAAAAUUAUAAUUAUUAUCAAGUAUUAUAAAAUUAUAAAUACAAAAAAUUAUAAUAAUAAUCAAGUAUUAUAUUUAUAUAUAAAAAAUCAUUGAAUAAUUAAACAAAUAAAUUAAAAUAUAACUAGACAAAUUUAACAUAAAAUUAAAUCAAAUUCACACAUAAUAAAACUUAAACUUAAGAUUUCAAAAUUAUAAGAUGUCUUCUUUAUCACUAAAAUAAGGAAAAUAUAUGUUUAUAUAUAUUUAUUUAUUUAUGUAAACCUAUUUUUUUUAUAAAAACAAGUCAUAAUUGUGGAUAAAAAAAUAUAAAUAUUAAAAAUUAAAUCUAAAAUAUAAUGAAUAAUAAUUCUUAAAAUAAUUAUAUGAAUCAAUUAAGCUAAAUUAAUUGAAUUCAUUAUUUAUGUUUUAUUGAAUUCUAUUUUUUAAGUCAUCCACUUGUGAAUUUUAUAAUAUUUAAUUGUAAUUUUAUUACUGUAAUCUAGCUGGUAUGUGGCAGCACGAUUUUUUUAUCACUUGGUUUCUCAAAAUUAACGUUGUUGUCCACCGGUUAAUGUUAUUAGUUACAGAAAAUGACAAAUUAUAAUGUUAUAUAUAAUAAGUUUUUGUAAGGAGAGUUUUUACGAUGUUGUCUAAAAUUAUUCUAGUAAGUAAAAUUUUUUUGUCAAUAAAUAAAUAUUUUUACUAAAAUUUAAAAAAUAUAUUAAUUAUUGACUAUAUAAUUUACUAAAAAUAAUAUUAUAAAUAAAUUUCAAUUAAUAAUGUCAUAACGUCUAGAUCCGGGAUCUAUCGCUAGACAUUGACUUAAGGGAGUCGCCACCAAUCUUUUUUAUCUAGGUGUGAUUGGCCACCUAAGGAAUCUGUCCUUUUAGGAACACCUAAGUUUAAGGGUCCCUAAAAGAAUAGGUUCAGGUCUACUAACCAGAACAGAGUUCGGGAGUUCGGUUACGUGUGAGGAAGGUUAUAGCACCCCCACAACGCCCAUCAAAAGAUGGUACCAGCUUAAAUUUGUGUUAUCCGAAAGCCUUAAAAUUUUACCAAGUAAUUAAUUAUUGGAAAUUUUUCUCAAUUGACUCUAAUACUUUUAGCAGAAAAUUGAGAAAAUUCCCUCACCUCAAGAGUAUGGCAAGAAAAACUACUGUUUCACUUACGAGGCUCCGUACGUCGGAUUAUUUAAAGAAAAAAACAAAAUCAAAAUUAAGAUAGAAAGGAAGGAAAGAAUGAUUUUUUUUGUAGGAAAAAUUGAUACUUUCAACUUUUCCCCAAAAAUAUUUUUUUUGGAAAUUUAUUUUUCUUUUAAGGAAAAUUGAUACUUUCAACUUUUCCCUAAAAAUAUUUUUUUGGAAAUUUAUUCUUAAAGAAAAUUGAUACUUUCAACUUUUCCCCAAAAAUGUUUUUUUGAAAUUUUAUUUUUAAGGAAAAUUGAUACUUUCAACUUUUUCCUAAAAAUCUUUUUUUUUUGAAAUUUUGUUUUUAAGGAAAAUUGAUACUUUCAACUUUUCCCCAAAAAUGUUUUUUUGAAAUUUUAUUUUUAAGGAAAAUUGAUACUUUCAACUUUUCCCUAAAAAUAUUUUUUUUGGAACUUUUGAUUUUUUAUUUAAAGAAAAAUAGAAUAAUAAAAUAAAUAAAAAAGAAAAGUAAAACAAAAAUAAAAAUAAAAUAAAGAUAAAAAGAAUAUUAAAUAAACCUAAUCUAAUAAAUAAAAAUAAUAAUAAAUAAAAAAACAAAUAAAAAAAUUCAAAAAAAAAAAAAAACUGGAGCCGCUCGGCUAUCGGCUCGGCUCAAGGAAGAAAAAACGGCUCAGGGGAGCGGCUUGGAGGUUCGGCUCGGCUUGGAGGAGGGCUGGCACGCGCCGGUCAGAAAGCGGGUCGACGCCCGGGUCGGUCGGGUUCGGCAAAAUGCGCGGAUCCUCUGGGUUACUUAAGGCCAAAACGACGUCGUUUUGGGAGGGUAUAAAAGGCAAUCCCCUUCGUUUUUUCGGCAGAACGCUCCUCCCUCUCUCUCUCUUCUUCCCUUUUUCUCUCCCUUCUCUCUAAAACCGAAGAACACCGGUGCCGGAUUCUGGAAAAUAUCGCCGGAAUCUGGAAAUUUCGUCGGAAGUUGGCCGGAAGAUUGCCGGUUUCUGGGAUUCUUCGUCGGAAACUGGGCUGGUCGCCGAAAACUUCAAUGUUCGCCGGAAUUGUUGCCGGAAAAUUCAAAUUUCGCCGGAAUUUUCGCCGGAAUCUGGAAAUUUCUGGGAAAUUUCCAGAAAAAUUUUUCGCCAAAAAUUUCUAAAAAAUUUUUCCUACUCCCAGAACACUCCUAAACUUUUCCUAGCUUCCUAAUAACACCUCCUUUUCUCUCAAAUCAGUAGCUUUGCUUACUGUUUUCUGUGUGUUUUCAUUAUGUUCCAGGAGGUGCUUUAUAUAGGGAUUGAUCAGGAGUUUUUGAUCAAUCCCAAUUCCCCUUUGGACGGGAAUUCAAUCUUUGAAUCCAGUCUGGACUCUUCUGAUUGAAUUCCCACUCCCAGUGGGAUUCUUCAACUUUCAAUCCUAGCCCUCCAAAAUAAAAAUCAAAAAUAAAAAAAAAACUAGAUAAUUAGAGAAGAUAAAUCAGCAGAUAUUAUAGGAUAAAUAAUAAUAAUAAAAAAUAUAUCAGAUAUAUAAUUAGAUAAGUAAAAAUACAAAAAUGAAUAAAAUAAAAAGAUAAAAUAUAUAUAUAUACAUAAAUAAUAAAAUACACAUAAAUAUUAACAAAAAUAAAUAAAUAAAUAUAUACAUAUAUUAAUACAUAAUAAUAAUAAUAAAUAAUACAAUACAUAAAAUACAAAAGAAGAAGAAAAGAGAAAAAAAAAUACAAGAUAAAAUUGAAUUGGGCUUACCCAUUUGGGCCAGGCCCAAUUGAUCUGGGCCGGACCCAAUUGGGUGUCUACAAAUAAAAUGAAAUAUAAUAAAGAGAUGUAGGCACCAAAUCCUCCAAAGCCUUUUUCUUUAAAAAUUUGGUAAUUAAGGUCGCUAAAACGUCAAUUAACGUUAAACAUUGACUUUGCUCAUCUUUUCUGCCUCAAUCAAAAGGGUGAAAAUGUGGGCAAGGCUACCAUUUCAUUAAUAUUAUUGCUACCAUAAAUUAACAAGGUGUUGUCAUGAAUUAAUCAUAUUGAGACUUUCUUUUUACUAGAACUAAUAAAACUCCAUUUAGUUAUCAUUUUUAUUUUUAAUAAAAAAUAAAGAACAGAAAUAGAAAAUAAACUAAAAAAAAUUCUCGUCAAUUAAACAAAGUGUAAGAGAUUCUGUAUAUAAUAAGUGAAAUUAUUUCUUACACAUUUUUCACUUUAUUUUCUAGUCUUUACUGUUUAUGGAAUGCUUUAUAUGAUUUAUUUCCACCAGUCUUAUAAUUUGUAUUUGUGGAAACUGAUAGCAUUGAGGUCCUGAACAAGUUGUGCUCUGAUCUAUUGGGUUAUUUUUUCCUAUUUUAUAAGAGAAAAACUGUUCUGAUUCUUUAUUGGAAGAUUGAAAAUUCUAAACCCUCCAAGUACAUUGUCUAUAGAAUGUAUUAUAAGCUCUUGUUCAGUAUUUAAUGUAGAAUCUGUUAUUGUUAUACCAUCUUUGUGUUGGGCUAAAAGCUUCAAAUCCAAUCACAUUAGCGGAAGUGAAAUCAAACAAUAAAUCAAACAUACAAAAGACAACAAUUUAAGGUGGUUCGGCUCAAUCAACCUAUAUCCACGGAUGAGAAACAAGAUCCAUUAGUUGUAGAAAAUUACAAACAUACAUCAAAUCAUCAACCUCACUCAACAAUCGAUACUCAUAAAACACUCUCAAUCUUCUCUAGUCCUAUGAAGUAUUCUCAACCUAAAUAAACACAAACCCAAACCCUUGUGCACCCUUUCAAUAUAACCAAACACAUGCUCCCAUACAUCAUACCUAUGUGAACUCUCUCAAUCUCCUUUAGUCCACUCACAAACAAACAUACGCACCACUUGUUGGGGAACACCACAGCUCUGAUACCAUUUGUUAGGCUAAAAGACUCCAAUCCAAUUACAUUAGCGGAAGCGAAAUCAAACACACAAGAGAAGAUGAUUGUGAGACUUUUAUUGCAGGUGGAGCCAAGCAUGUCUAGCAUAAAGAUAGAUGAUUGAUGGAAUUUGAGUGAAGGUGGAGAUUGUUGGGAAUAUUGACUCAAAUCCCAUAAGAGAUUUGUUAGAUAUUGCUUGAUGGACAAGAAGACUUGCAAAGGAAGAAUUCUAAAAGAAAGAUGAUUCUUAAUAGGUAAGUUUGACUUGCAAGAAAAGAAUUCUAAAAGGAAAAGAAUUCUUAAUAGGCAAGUUUGACUUACAAGAGAAGAAUUCUAAGAGGAAAGGGAUUUUUAAUGGGCAAGUUUGUAUGGUUAUAAAUAGGUGAAGUCUCUACAGGGUUAAAUAUGAGAAAAAGAUGUAAGAGAGUUGUAGAGUUUUGUGGGAUAGACAUCCCAUAGGAGUAUUGGGGCUCUACGUCUUAUGGGUGUGUAUGUUUGUUUGUGAGUGGAUUAGAGGAAAUUGAGAGGGUCCACAUAGGUAUGAUGUAUGGGAGCAUAUGGGUAUGUGUUUGGUUAUAUUGAAAGGGUGCACAAAUCUCUUAUGGGAUUUGAGUCAAUAUUCUCAACAAUCUCCACCUUGACUCAAAUUUCAUCAAUCAUCUAUUUUCAUGCUAGACAUGCUUGGCUCCACCUACAAUAAAAAUCUCACAAUAAUCUUCUCUUAUGUGUUUGAUUUAUUAUUUGAUUUUGCUUCCGCUGAUGUGAUUAGAUUGGAGGCUUUUAGCCCAACACUUUGAUGUGAUUUGAUUCGAGUUAAGUAGUAAGGAGAGAGUUAGAGGUAGGCUGAAAAUUGCGUUGGCAGUGGUAAUAAGAAAAAAAAAGUGCAUAUUCACUUGUUUUAGAAAUGGAUUCAUGCAUGAAUGCACUAUAUAGAGUUGUCUAGCUGCAGCACGAUAAAAGUUUUUGAUUCAUAGAAUUUCACUACAUAAUUUUCUUUGAAUUCGAUUGCUGUAGGAUAUAAAUGUUAGUAAGUCUUGUAUUGUUAUAAAUAUAUUUAGAAUGAGUUCUCUUACUAUAUUCAAUCAUGUUUUUCACCGCAUAACCAGUUUUAAUUCAAUGUUUCAAUUGCAAAAGAAAAUGUAAAAGCAAAGUGGAUCAUGAUUCCGACGGAAUGAUUCAUUGGAAUUGAAGAAUCUGCAAAGCAUUUUUAAUAUGAGCACUUUUAGCCUCUUAUGGGAAUUUAAUGUGUUGUAGAACACCAUAUGUCAUGAUAGAAAGAACUUAUUUUCCCUCCUUUUUAGUUUUUAAUUUUUCGUUCGAUUAUAUUAAGAUUCUACUCUUUUUUUUUUUUGGUAUCAGAAAUGGCAUUGAAAGCAUCCAAAAAAUAUGUGAAGGAGAUAUUAGAACUAUUCAAACAAGGUACACCGGAACUUGUUCUUACUGGGAAUGCCAGAACAGGGAAAAUAUAUAUGUCAAGAGCAAUAAGCGAGUCUGCAAUCAAGGAAGGCUACUGCUAUAGGACUACAAAAUUUUUGACUUUCAAAUAAAAAUUAUAUAUGGAAUACAAAAUUUUGAAACAAAAUUGAUGAUGCACAUAACAUGCUUAUAAAAAUUAAUUAAAACAAAUCAUUGUCACGAAUGCAUGACCGAAAAUUAAAUAGCAAAAGUAUCAUACUUCAUGGAAAGUUUCCAAUAAUUAAAUGGAGGAAAUCAUUUUACUUGGAAUUAGUUGUUUGUUUCCGGAGAAAAAAAAACCAGGUGAUUUUAUAAAAUUUACAGGAAAAACUUUUUCUUUUUUCAAAUUAAAUUUACAAGAAAACUUAAGUCCUUAUUAUUACUUAGAAUCCUAAUAAAAUUGCCUCACAUACAUGCCAUGCCAUUACCAAGGGCCAUAUAAAUGUAACAUAUAUUGUAAUUUCCAAGCAUACCGUCCAAAAAGCCUAUUAAUCUCUUUGGUAUAUAAUAUUAGUUCGAUGGACUUAUAUAUAAAACCACCUUUUAUGCUAUAUUUCUUUUCAAAUAAUAUAUAUAUAUAUAUUUAUAUGUAUAUAUAGAAGAAUAAAAAGAACUCAUCAAAGAAAUCUAUUAAUUAUGUGAUUCAAUAAAUAUAUUGAUUAUGUAUAUAUAUGGAAGAGAAAAUUAUUUACUUUCAGACCUUAAAUUUGUACAUUUCAAUAAAUAUAUAUUGAUUUUGUAUAUAUAUUGAUUAUGAAUCCUUUCAUCAUCAUCAUCAUCAUCAUCAUCAUCGAUUUAGUUAUUCUUCUUAACCAGUUUUUGUGUCUUUGCAUAUAUAUGCUACGUAUAAAGAUUGCAUUUCAUAAUUUUAUCUUAAGUUGAAAUAAUUUGACUAGAAUUGGUUUUUAAUAAAGAGAAACUUCUUCAAAGAGUACUAAAGCUUAAGUCAAAUGAAGAGAAUUUAAUUAGUAAUUAAAAUUACAUGGCAAAGCCAGGGUUCUUAUAGAAUAAGCUUACUUACAAAUAUUCAAAGCCUUUCAUGGAAUGUUUCUUAGAAAGGCUUUAGCAUUUCUUUCAAGACCUCAUCUUCCGCUUGAGAAUCUCUCGUAAUUUGUCAGCCUUCUCUUUCUCUUUCCUUGGACGAGGCACCAAAUAUUUAGAUAUCUCUUCAGGCGGUUCAACCUUAAUAAAAGUAAAUAGCAGCAAAAAAUGCUUCUUUAAUUUCAAAAUAAUGAUGUAACAAUUUUAUAAUAUAAUGAAAUAUAUAGAGCCAUGAAAAUUGAAUUCAACAAACUAAAUAAAAUUGGCUUGUUAUUUAACGAAAGUUAGUAAUAUAUAUCAUUUCAAGGUUUUCUAUAUAUGAAGAUUAUUGCUUACUUCUAAUUAAUUAACUAGUAUUCGAAUAGUUCCACGUACCACUAAAUUCACACAAUUAAUAAUCGCAAUAUAGGUGCCAUUCUUUGCAGUAAUAAACAUCAUGCUCUGGAUUUUCUUCUGUUUCACAAUAUCACAAUAGUAUAUUCCAGAAUGUCUUCCCACAACAGAGUUUGAAGUGUGAUGAGUAAAUGACCAUAUGUUUGAUGAUAUAUGGUAGGCUGAAUCACAUUCAAGAUGUAUGUGAAUUCACAUUUCAUGACAGCCCAAAAAAGGUGUUGUUACAAUCUUUCGCGACAUUCAGCACAUGGAGGAGAUCUUUUAACGAAAAUGCUUUUCCCCAAAUGUAGAAGAUGUUGAACAUGGCAAUUGUGCUUUAUCAUACGAGUUUGGUACUUAGCGCAUGAAUAGUGCAUGUACAAAUUGCAUUCAUAACAACCGAACAUGAUGCAAUCAAUUCUGUCGUGACAAGCCUUGCAUGUAGGAUUAUCCAUCACAGUCCUGAGUGGAAAUGGGAGAAGAGGAUGUUGUGGGUGAAAUGGACUCUCAACUUCUAUCAGCAUGUCCUUAAGAUAGGAUUCAUGAAUAAAGAAUUCACAAACAAGACAAGUAUAAACUAGAUCAUGCAGGUCUUGUCUACAUGCUAUGGAAGACUGAUGAAUCUCCGUUUGCAAUCUAUUAAUCCUGCAACGAGUUAGCUGAUGAUUGUGGCUGAAAUGGUAGACUGAGAUUUGAAUUUCCUUCCCUUUAAGGGCCUCAUGUUUAGCAAGAUCGUCAUUUAAAGUAGCGCAUUUGAUAUCAAGACUGAACAAACAUAGGCUACAGUUGUAAGAUAAACCGCAACAGAGUUUUCCACAUCCGUUACAUAUAAAUAUAGCCUCUAGAUCAUUGAGUGUCGGCGGCUGAGGAUGAAAAGCAUCUUUUUGUAUUUCAUAACCAACAAAAGGAAGCCUGUUACACAUUUUAUAAAAUAUAAUCAAUUAAUCAAUAUAUUAUACACAUAAAUACGAAUUUAAAAAAUAUAAAUAGUAUUACCUAUUAAUUUUGUCCUUUAUUAAUGAUCUUUUAUUAAAUUAAAAUAUUGAUAAAUUUUUGUUAUUAUUAGCUUGACUCAUUGUUGCUAGAUAAUGUUCGAUUUUUAGGUUAUUCAGGGACAAUAUUUUUAGCAAGAGUUCACAAUAAAAAACAAGUCACAAUUAGAGUUGGCAACGGGUCAGGUCGAGACGGGUUUUUGCUCACUCCGAACUCGAUCGGAUUUUGUAUCCAUCAAAUCUAAACUCGAACCGUCCCAAUUUUUUUAAAAUUUUUUAAUACCCGACCCGACCCUGAUAUUGUGUAAAUCGUACAUGAUCCGAUUUGACCUGAAAUUAAUAAAAUAUUAUUUUUUAAAAUAUAAAAUAUUAUUUUUAAAUAUAAAUAUUUAAAUACAUAAUUAUAUAAAUAUAUAUAAAUAAAAAAAUUAAAUAAAUAAUUAAAAAAAUAAUUUUUAUAUAAAUAUGGGGUUGGGUCGGAUUUGCCUAAAACCCGAACCUGACCUGAAACCUGAUUUUCAAAAAAAAAAUCGACUCUAGAGGGUUGGGUCGGGUUGAAACCCGUCGAGGACGGGUUGGGUUGCUGAUCCUAGCCAUAAUUACAGGGAAAGCCAGCACAUAACUUCAUCAUCAAUCGCAAUUCCACAAUAAACACAACCACAAUACAUAAGCAAUAGGAAUUAGAAAUUCAGUAGGUUCUUACGCACGUUAGUGAUCAAGGUGAAAAAUUUUUUUCAUUAAUUGUCAACUAGCAAAAUGUAUGCUGUCAUCCAUUUCAUACAUUUUAAUUUUUUAUUUUGUUAAUGUAUAUAAAAUAUUUGAAUGUUAUUAUACUAAUUAUUAAACUUUGUAUUAAUUAGAUGUAUAUUUAAAUGUGAAUAAAGUUAAUAUAAAUUUCAGUUUCUGAAUUUAAACUCUUUAAUGAAAAUAAAAUUUAUUAAAAGAAUAUAGAAAAAAAAUACAUUUUUACAUAAUGACGGCGUUUGCGUUCGUCGUGGGUCGCUAAAUGAAUAAUUUAGUGACGUUUGUAGCAUAAAACGUCACUAUAAGUAGCGGCACUCUUACCAGCAAAUGUCGCUUGUUAAGUAGCAUUUUUCUCAUAAAAAUGCCAUUAAAGCAACGGUAUUUUUAUCAUAAAAAUGUCAAUGAAUUAACGACGACUAAAAGAUAUAAACGCCGCUAAUACAAAGGCGUUUUCAGAUUCAAAUGCCUUUAAAGUAAAGGCAUUUUCAGUUAUAAACGUUACCAAAGCAACUACCUUUUUUCUCAUAAAAACGUCACUAAUUUAACGACAUCUCAAAGAUAGAAAUGCCGCUAAAAUGACAGUGUUUUAGAUAUAAACACCGCUAACAUUAUGGUAUUUUUUCUAAAAAGCCAUUAUUUAUCACGACGCGUGAAUAGCCGACACUCUGCGUGACAUUUUUUGCAAACGCCGCAAAUCUUUUUGUGAUGUUUAUAAACAUCGUUAAACGUUAAAAAAAAUAUCAUUAAAAACCAAAACCCCUGUAAUGAGUACACAUGUAAUGAGUACACAAGCAUGCUUUGGCAUAAGGUUCUUAGAGUUUCAGUUUAGGUAACUUAAAAGGUUUUAGGUUUUAAAAUUGGAUCAAAAAGAUUAAGUCAAGGGCAAGAGCAUAUUUUGGUCUUAGGGGAUUUGGUCGGCAACGAAAGGCUUUAUCAGUAGUAGAAGAUUUUAGUUUUCGCUUUUAAAUCUAAGGUUUUCUUGACUUUUUUUUUGUAAAAACUAAUUGGAUAGGAAGGAAAAGGGAAUCAAGUAGAUUUUUUUGGGGUGAAAUUUGGUGACAAUUCGGUGCCAAUGGACGAUGGAUGAAAGUGGAUUAAGGCAGCUGCAACGGAAGAGGUUGGUUGGAUUCUGAGUAAUCUACUAUAGAUAUGAUAACGGUUCAAAUCAGAUUCAGUUCGUUUUUUAAAUAAUAUAUAAAAUUAUAAAUUUUUAAAAUUUGAUUUGAAUUAAAACCAAAUUUUUAUACAAUUUGAUCCUAUUCAAAUUGAAUUUUAUUGAUUUAGUUUGGUUUAUCGGUUUUUAAAAUAUUUUUGUUUUUAUAUAUUAUUUUAAUAUGAUUUUUAAUAUAUUUAAAUAGAUUUAAAUAUAAAAUAAUUAUCUUAUUUUAUAAAAAUUUAAAAAAUAUAUAAAAACUAAUAAAAAUAAUAAUUUUGUUCAGUUCGAUUUUUACAAAGUUUUUUUAUUUUUAAUUUAAUAUUAGAAAUUAAUCCAAACAAUAAAAGAACAAAAAUUGAUCAGAAAUGAAUCGAAUAUUAUAAUUUUGAAUUGAUUUUUUAUUUUUUUGAUUUUUUUUUGCCUUUAGUCUAGUAUUUUUCUUGGAUGCUGUUGAAUUUAUGGAGAGAAGUUGAAAAAAUAAGACAAGAGAGAGAAGAUGGAAGAAUAAAAAAUAUUUGGCUAUUUAAGUGAGUUUGAAGCGCUACCAUUUUGAGACAGAAAGAAAGAGGCUUGUCUAGGGCCUAAUCCGAGUUUCUGGCUCGUGCUCCCACCUGCAAACACCUGCCUUGUAUAUAUAUUUUCAAAUAUUUUUAGUUUUAAUUUUAUUUUAUUUUCUUUAAGCUUUUAUUAAUUUCUUGUUAUCUUAUUUAUUUCAAUUUUUUCUUUUACUUAUCUAUUUGUUUUAAAUGUUUAGAUUUUUGAAUUAGGAAUGUGUUUUAAUUAUUUGAUAAGUAGAUAAAAAGUAUUUAUAUGAUAAAUUAAGUAAAUUCUAUUCUCAUAAUGUUAUUUAUAAAAAAUUUUAAGAAUAAAUGAAAAUUAUUUUGAUGAUGGAAUUCUAAAAAAUCAUUAUUGGUUAAUUUUUAAGAAUUUUUCAUGUGAGAUUUUUUUUUUUUAAAUUUAACUCGAUUGACAAAAAGUUUAUAAUAAAAAUUUCAAAAAAUUUUGAUAUUUAUUUUCAAAUAAAAAUAAAUAAAAUAAAAUUUUAAAAUACACAAAAAUUUCACAAAUUAUAGAAUUCUUAAAAUACAAGAUUGGUUGAUUUUCUAAGAAAUUUAUAAGUGAGAGAUUUUAAAAAAAUAGACAAAUAAAUGAAAAUUUUAGAUAAAAAUUUCCUUGAGAAUAAUUUAUAUUUAUUUUUAAGAAAAAGAAUAAAAUUAGAAAAUUAGAAUAAUGGAAAUUGAAGAAUUAAACAACAAACCUUUUUUCCAAAAAACAUUAAAAUAAAUCUAAGGAUGAAACUUUUUAAAAAAAUAAUUGAGAUUUUUUAAUAUUUUUGAAUUGAAAAGAAGUUUUUUUAAAAAAAUUUCAAAUAGAAGGAGAAAAACCUAAAAAUUCUUUGUAAUAUUUUAAUAAUAAAUUAAAAAUAAAAAAUCAUUUUAAUCAAGAUAAUUUUUAGAAUAAUUUAAAAUUAAUUAAUACUAUUUUAUGAUGGAUGUUGUAGGGGUGUUAAAACAUUUAUUAUAUGUAAUCGAAUUCUCAAACUUAAUUUUAAUAAAUAGAUCAAUCAUAUUCUUUUAAGUACUUUUAGUUAACUUAAGACAUCUUUAAAAAAAUAGAGUUGUUUGGUGACAAAUCACAGUUAAAUAAAAAAAAUAGUGAUAACUUUUAAAUUUAUAUCUAACAAUCAAGUUGUCGAACUUUUAAGUUAUGACAUAUGGUAACUUUUUUUUGAAUUUGUUGAUUGGUUAGUGUUUAAUGUUUCUAUUAGAAGAUGAAAUAAAUUUUGGUUUUUUUGGUAAACCCUUACAUUUGAUCUUAAGUUAAGUAUCAAUGAAAUUUGAUUAUGGGAGUUAACUAUUCCGUAAAUUGAGACUAACCUUUUCAUCGUGCACCAAUAUCCCCUCCAAUUCCAUCCUUUUGUUAGCAAUCUCUGCUUUGUCAAAAUUCCUUCCUGUUCGUUGAUUCGAAAACAUUUCUUCUGUAGGUUCAACCUAAUAAUAGAGUAAGCACAAAGUUUAAUUUUCAUGGUUUCAUCCAAAUUCAACGAGGAAAAAAAAUUGUUAUAAUACACUCAACAUUAAUUUGCUCAUACAAUUAAUUAAAGGACUAUAAUUUAUUUGCUCGUGUCUUACCUCAGGAAGGACACAAUCAAUAGGUGCAAUAUAAGUGCAUUCUUUGCAAAAAUAAACAUGAUGUUCUGCAUUCCUUUCUGUCUCGCACAUAUCACAGUAAUAAUCUCCCGAAUCAUCUUCAACAAAAAGAUUUUUAAGCACAAGUGGAUGCAAGUGACGUUUGUGUUUAACAAUUAGAGGUAGUUGAAUACACUCAACAUCUAUAUAGAAAUCACACUUUAUGCAGCCGAAGAAAGAAUCAUCGCAAUCUUUAUAACAAGCAUCACAAGAUAUAUUACUGAUAAUGCUCUUCCCCAAAUGUAGACGAUGGUGAGGAUGGCAAUUGUGCUUUAUAGCCCGAGUUCGGUACUUAGCACAUGAAACGUGCAUGUUAACAUCACAUUGAUUACAGUAGAAGCUGAUGCCCUUAACUUCUUCCUUACAAGCACUGCAUCUGUGAGAAGAACCCUUAUGGAUCAGUCGAGGGAGAAGAAUAUGUUGUGGGUGAAAUGGACCUUGAAGUACUUGUCUUGGCAUGUCAUUUACACAUGAUUCAUGAAUGACAAAUCGACAAGGAAUGCAGGUAUAGAUUAGAAUAUCAUGGAGUUUCUGUUUGCAUGCCAUGCAUUUGGGCUUUUCUAGCUUCCAUAGAUACUUAAAAAUUUCUUUACCCAACACCGUCUUCAACAAAGAAAACUUGCAGCGGGUCAGUUGAUGAUUGUGGUUGAAAUGAUGAAUUGUGGUUUUAAUUCGCCUCCCUUCCUGUAAGGCCUCGUGGUUAGCUAGCUCACAAUCAUUAGAAAUAGUGACAGCGCAUCUGAAAUCAAGGUUGAAUGUACAAUUCAUGCAACUGUAACUGAAUGAAAAUGCCCGCCAUAUUGCACAUCGGUCACACACAAUCACGUUGCCCAGAGUGAAUCUUAGCGGGUGGGGGUGAAAAGCAUCUCUUUGCAUUUGAGGGGGCAAUUCAGCACAUGAUUUGUGCAUAUCAAACAUGUUACAUUUUUCACAAACAUAUGCUGGACCGCAAAUGAUAUCCCGGCACCCAAAGCAACUCAUAGUAUUGUUCUCCUUACCCACCUCUAUAAAGGUCAAGUUGUGGUUGUGAAGAAAAUGUUUGAACUCCAUGUUAUGUUUAUAGGACACAAAAAAAGGUAGAACAAUGAAAGAGUGAGGGCAUUAAUUGCAAGUUGAAGAGUUCUUGAAAAAAGAAAAUUUACUGUUUUUAACCUCUUUUCAUUGACUUUGUCCAAUUGCCAAAAAAAUGCAAGUUAUAUUACAUAUAUAGAACAACAAUUUCUUGAGUGUUUUUCAAUUUUUGGAUAUUCAUGAAUGCCUUAUCUUUGCUACUGUAUCUUUCAUUGACCUUGUCCAAUUUGCCAAAAAAGACAAAUGUAAGUUAUAUUACAUAUAUAGAACAACGAUUUCUUCAGUGAUGGAAGCACAUAGGCUAUAUACUACUUCUAUGCACGCCUAGAAUACGGGUAAAUGAUAAUUUAUUAUUAAGAUAAAAUUUAUAAAGAAGAAAAUAAAAAAUGCAAUUAUAUAUCUGAACAUCGGAGAAGAAAAAAGAAGUGUAUACACAGUUAUUUAACAUUCAGAAAGAAAUAGCAAUAAUAUCGAUUAGUUUUAAAAUAUUUAAAUCAAUUUUUAAACUUAAAUACCUUAAAAUAUUAAAUAUUUUUAAUUUAAUUGCUGUCACUUGUGACGUCAAUUCAGUCAAGGAUAAAAAUAGUAUAGAUAUAAACACUAUAAACUUGAUAACGUUAGAUUAAUAAACUGGAGUGUCAUCUAGAGAUCAUGAAAGAGGACAAUAGUAUGUUUGGUAGGAACAAGGGAAAAUAUAAAAAAAAAAAAUGUGAGGAAAAAGAAAGAAAAGAGGAAGAAAAAUUAUUUUUUCAUUGUGUUUGGUAUAAAGGAUUGAAAAUAAAGAGAAUAAAAUAGGCUAAGAGUAAAGUUAUAAAUAAAAUUAAUAAUUUAAAUUUAGUUCUUUCUUUUUACAUUUGAAAAAAAAAAAUAGAUUUUAAGAAAAAAAUGUAAAUUCAUUCAUUUUUUUUUAUCUUUUUAUUUUUCACGUACAGAAUAGAAGGAAAUUUUUUUUUUUCAUUUUUUUUUCAUCUUUUUCUCUUACAAAAUACAGCAUAGAAGAAAAGAAUUUGUGUUCAACAACUCAGUUUUCAAUAUUGGAUAUUUUAUCAAUUUUUUUUAAAAGAAAAGGAAAAGGAGAGAAUAAAGGAAGGAAAUGUUUAAACUUUAAUUUGGUGAAUCGUCAAGAAAUAUUGCUUUUCCCUAAAGCAUAAAAUUGUUUAAUAAUUAAAUAUUGCUUUAACGAUUUUGUAGAUCUUUUAGCCGUUAAACCAUUCAAAGAUCUGUGUUGGAAAGCCAUAGUGAUCACAAGGAAAGGAAUUUGUGUUCAACAACUCAGUUUUCAUUUCAAUAUAUUGAAUAUCUUAUUAUUUUUAUUAUUUAAAAAAAAAAAAGAAAAGAAAAGAGAGAGAAUAAAGGAGGGAAAUGUUUAAACUUGAGAUGUAUCAUUGUUAAUUAGGUGACUCAUAUUCAAGGAACGUUGCUUUUCCUUAAAACAUAAAAAUUAUUAAUAAUUAAUAUUGCUUUAAUAAUUUUGCAUAUCUUUUAGACGUUAAAUAAUUCAAUUAUCUAUCUGGGAGCUAUGCUCUGAGCAUCUACGUCUAACUUGCCUCGACGGCCAAUAUAAAAAAAAAAGUUCUUAUUAAAAUUUUUUAUGAAAUUAUAAAUAGAAGAAAAAUUAUAAUUAUAAUAAAGUAUUAUAAAAUUAUAAAUAUAAAAAAAAGUUACAAUAAUAAUCAAAUAUUACAUUUAUAUAUAAAAAAUCAUUGAAUAAUCAAAUAAAUAAAUUAAAAUAUAAUUAAACAAAUUUAACAAAAAGUUAAACUAAAUCCUUGUAUAAUGAAAUUUAAAUUUAAAAUCUCAUAAUUGUAAGACUUUCUCUUCACCAUUAAAAUAAGGAAUAUAUGUAUGUGUGUGUGUGUGUGUAUAUAUAUAUAUAAAUCUAAUCUAAUCUAAUAUAACCCUAUUUUUUUUAUAAAGAGAGUUAUAAUUUGCAAAUAAAAAAAAUUAUAGGUGUUGAAAUUUGAAUUUAAAAGCUAAUAAAUGAUAAUUUUCAAAAUAAUUAUAUAAAUAAAUUGAACUAAACUAAUUGAAUUCAUAAAUUUAUGUUUUAUUGAAUUCUAUUUUUUUAUGUUAUUCACUUGUGGAUUUUAUAAUAUUUAAUUAUAAUUUAUUACUAUAAUCUAGUUGGUAUGUGGACUUGGUUUCUCAAAAUUAACGUUGUUGUUCACCAGUUAAUGUUAUUAGUUAAAGAAAAUGACAAGUUAUAUAUAAUAAGAUUUUGUAAGGAGUGUUUUUACGUAAUAAGUAAAAUAUUUUUGGCUAAUAAGUAAAUAUUUUUAUUAAAUUUAAAAUUAUAUAUUAAUUAUUGACAAUUGAAUUUAAUAAAGAUAUUAUUAUAGAUAAAAUUUCAAUUAAUGAAAUGAAAUACAAUAAAGAGAUGUAGGCACCAAAUCCUCCAAUGCUUUAUUUUUUAAAAAAUUGGUAAUUAGGGUUGCUAAAAAGUCAAUUAAUGUUAAACAUUGACUUUGCUCAUCUUUUCUGCCUCAAUCAAAACAGUGAAAUUGUGGGCAAGGCUACCAUUUCAUUAUUAUUGCUACCAUAAAUUAAUAAGGGUGUUUUCAUGAAUUAAUCAAAUUGAGACUUUCUUUUUACUAGAACUAAUAAACCUCAAUUUAGUUGUUAUUUUUAUUUUUAAUAAAAAAAAUAAAGAACAGAAAUAGAAAAUAAACUAAAAAAAAAAAUUCUCGUCAAUUAAACAAAGUCUAAGAGAUUCUGCUUAUAAUAAGUGAAAUUAUUUCUCUCACAUUUUUUGGCAGGUGGUAGAAUAUGCUUGUUGCUUUUCAUUUUAUUUUUUUUAAGAUUUAAAUAAUUUAUUCAAAUUUAUUUGAUUUAGGUACUCUAAAUAGGACAAAAGAAGUGAUAAGAUAAGUAUUUAACCACUAUUUGAUGUAUAAUAUAUAUUACAAGCAGAACUUAAAAAUCAUUUUCCCAUUUAACUAUUCAAGAAUAUAGAUGUUUAUUAAUGUCUUAUAUUGUGAACAUUUUGUGGGAGGAACAAUUUGCUCAAACAAAUCAAAUUAUAGCAACUUUAUUUAAAUCAUUACUUUAUUUGCCAAAUAUCAUACCCAUGUAUACAAAAGGGGAAUAGAUAAGGUACUUCAAUCUUACAUCGAAUAUGAAAGGGGGGUUACUAAGAUAUAAAAGGGUUCACAUCAUCUUUUUCUUGUGAAAUGCCUUUUAUGAGAUAAAAUCGUGAGGCCAUAGGGAUCAGAGCGAACAAUAUCUCAUAAUAGGUAGGCUAAUCUGAGAUGUCGAAUGAGUGCAUACUCAGGUUUUAAAAUCACAUGAGCUUGGAGGUUAAGUCUCGGCUCGUGAAAAGUGGUAUCAGAACAAGCCCUGGAUCGUUUGACCAACGCCAAGCACCUCAAGAGAGGUAGACAAAGUGGUCAGCCUCCGUAACGAGGGCGUCACAAGGUUGGGUGGGGAAAAAUGUCAUGCAAAGCUCUCCAAUAGGGAGUAAGCAGGGUAUUCCAAUCCUACAUCGGACAUAAAAGAACGGUCACUAAAGUAUAAAAGUGUUUACAUCACAUCUUCUUUGUGAAACACAUUUUAUGGGAUAAAAUUGUGAGAUCAGAGAGAUCAGAAUAAACAAUAACUCACAAGAAUAUGAACCGUAACAUAUAAAUUGGUCUGUAAUGUCGGAUGAGUGCAUAUUCGAGUACUGAAACCACACAAACCUGAAAGUUGAGUCUCGGCCUAUGACAAUGACACUUAUUUAGUAUUAUUACUCCAUGUUCAAGGAAAAUAAUAUUUUGUUUUUGGUCAACUCCAAAUUUCCAACAAGACAUCUCAGGUUUUUUCCCCCCUAAGUCUUCAUGUUUUUGUACUUGCUUUCCAUUUUUGCUGUUCUUAUUAGAUUUCUAUUCCUCAACCAUUUUUUUCCUUUAUUUUCUAGUCUUUACUGUUUAUGGAAUGCUUUAUAUGAUUAUUUCCAACGGUCUUAUAAUUUUUAUUUGUGGAAAUUGGUUGCAUUAAGGUAGAGAACAAGCUGUGCUAUGAUCUUGCGUUUUUUUUUUUUUCUCCUUUUUUAUAAGAGAAAAAGUGUUCUGAUUCUUUAUUGGAAGAUUGAAAAUUCUAAACCAUCCAAGCAUAUUGUCUAUUAAAUGUAUUAUAAGCUAUUGUUCUGUCUUUAACGUAGAAUUUGUUGUUGUUAUACCGUCUUUGGAGUUUUUUUUUUUUUUCCUUUCUGCUUCUGGUAAUAAUUUUCGUGAUUAUUAAUAAUCAUUUUCUUGAAUAUAUUGUCCAUAGAAUGUAUUAGUAAUAUCAAACAUGAUGAUAUUUAAUUCAUAAAAAUUAAUAAUUAUCAAUCAAAUAAAAUAAUUUCAAAUAGAGAUAAGAUAACUUUGAUAACAAAAUCAUUUCGAUAAUUAUAUUACCAAGAUAAUAUUGAAAAUGAUAGCUAAUGUUACCUUAAAAAAUUAUGACUUAAGUGAUCAAAAAUACCUUUGAUUGUAUUAAAAAAAUGAUUUCUUCUCUAUAUUACAUAGCAUAUAAAUUAAACACUGGUUUUGUGACUUGAUAAUCUGUUAAGUGUUAAACAAUUCAAGAUUUUGGGCAAAUUAAUCACAUCAUCGAUAUGUUUUUGGUCGGUUAGUAUACUAAAAUGUUGGAAGUGGUUUCAAUUAAUAGAGGUAUUUAUAAGUUGGAUCGAGUUGGGUUUAGAUCGGAUUCUUACUUGGUAUUGAUAAUUUAUAUAUUUGCUUAGGUUUGGUUUAAUAUGAAAUUUCGGACUUCAAAAAAUUUUCAAACUGGACCUAAAUUAAAAAAAUAAAUCCUAAACUCACUCGUUUAACUUAAUUUAUACAAUAAAAUUUUUUUAAAAAAGUAAUUAAAUUAAGUUUAAUGGGAUUAUAUUCAAUUCACAUAUAUAUGUAAAUUAAAAAUAAAAAUUAUAUGCAUAAAAAUUUAAAAUAAAAAUUAUAUAAAAAUAAAAAUUAAAUUUAAUAAAAUAUAUAUUAUUUUUAUUAUAUAUAUUUGAAUUACUUUAUAUAUAAUUCACACAUAUAUAAAAAUAAAUAAUUUAUAUAUAUGUGAAUUUGAUUUCAAGUUAAGCUAAGCUCAGACUUUAAAUCUUUUAUCCAAGAUUCGAUUUGAAAUUUAAAUGGACCUAAAAUUAUAUCCAAACCUAUUUAAUAGUUUUUAAUUUUUUUUAUCUAAAUCCUCUCAAAAUUUGGUAAGACUUUUAAGUUUGGACGAAUAUCCCGAUUCUUGAACAUGUCUAUCAGUUAGAUCUAUAAAAAAUUUUUUUUGUUAAUAUUAUCAAUAACAUUUUUGAGGAAGACAAGAUAUAAAUACGACUUUUUAAUGAAAAAAAUGCAUACAUUUAUUAUUGUCAUUAGACCAAUUUUAGUUUUUUAAAAUCGGAUGUAUGAUAUUAUUUAAUUUCUUUUGUUAUUCUUUCAUUAGUGAGCAACUGCAAAAGAUUCUGCAUACAAUGUUUAGUUUACUCAAAUUUUACGAAAUUUUGUCAUGAAUCCUUUGGUAGAUGCUUGUUAGCAGAUGCAUAUAAUAAGUGGAAUUAUUUCUUAUCUUAAACAAUAAGUACAUUAACUUUGGUGAAAUGAAAUUACUAAAGUCACCUAUUUGUUUUAAGAAACAAAUUUUUAAUAUACACUAGACUUGAAUGUAAGAUCUCUUAUUUAAAGCUCACCAAAAUUUAAUGAAUUUAGUUAAAAAUUAGUGACUUAUCAAAUAAAUACCUUAGUGUGUGUGUGUGUGUGUGUGUGUGUGUGUAUAUAUAUAUAUAAAAUAUUUUAGAGAGUAUCCGAUAACUAAAAUAUAUUUUUUUGAAAAUAUUUAAUAUAAUAAGAAGUCUUAAUAACAUUUUUCUUCCACGCAUGAUUGCAACCAUCAAAGAUUUAAUUAAAUUAAAUUAUAUAUUUUAUUUUAUAUUUUGUAGAAUAUAUUGUUAUUAAUUAUAGUUAUUAUUGUUUUUUUUAUAUAUUAUUUUUUUCUUUUGCAAAAUUUCUCAUUAAUGUUCAAUUAUCGAAACAGUAAGUUAAAUAUGUAUUUCUACUUAUUGAAAAAAUAAAAUAAUAGUGACAUUAAUUUGAAAAUUUUAUUUAGAGCAACAUUCCGUAUAAAAUAUUUUUAUUCGUACGUACAAUAAAGGGGAAAGAGAAAUGUUAACUCAAGAUAAACCAUUGUUUUAUUUACAUGCCAAAUAAAGUUUUACUUGCUAAUAUUCACAGCCUUUCAUUGUUCUCUUGUGAUUUUCAGACUUAAAGACACAUGUUGGAACUUGGAACGUUUGUUUGAAGGACUCUUGCAUUUUUUGAUCACCUUUCCUUUUUCUGUUUGAUCCUCAAUCUGCUUUUCACUUCUCCAACGACCUCAUCAUUUUUCCUCUAUGCUUCAGGAAGUUCAACCUAAAGAAAACGCAUGUACCAAGUUUUAAUUAGUUUCACAUUUUUCAGCAAAUAAUAGCAAAAAUGCUUCUUUAAUUUCAAAAUGAUGAUGCAACAAUUUAUAAUCUAACUGGAUAUAUAGAAGCCAUUAAAAUGAAUUCACCACACUAAUUAAAAUUAGCAUGUUAUUAUACGAAAAUAUAGGCCAUUUCCGAGGUUUUCUCUAUAUGCAGGCCUCAUCAUCUCUUACCUUUCAUCUAUCCUUCCCCUCUUUGUCAGCCUUCUCUUCUUCAGAUAUUCAAAUAUCUUUUCAGGAGGUUCAACCUAAUAAAAGGCAUUUACCAAGUUUUAAUUAGUUUCAUGCUUUCAGGAAAUAGCAGCAAAAAACAAUGCUUCUGUAAUUUCAAAAUGAUGAUGUAACGAUUUAUAAUAUAACUAGAUAUAAAAGCUAUUAAAAUGAAUUCGGCACUCUAAUUAAAAUUGGCUUGUUAUUAUACGAAAUUUAGUAAUAUAUGUCAUUUCCAAGGUUUUCUACAUGUGCAGAUAUUGCUACUUCUAAUUAAAUAACUAGUAUUUAGAUGGCUCCACUUACCUCUGAAAUCACACAAUCAACAUGCGCAACAUAAGUGCAUUCUUUGCAGUAAUAAACUUCAUGCUCUGGAUUCCUUUCUGUUUCACAUAUAUCACAGUAAUGUCCUCCAGAAUUGUCUUCGACAACAGAGUUUGUAAGUGUAAGUGGAUGCAAAUGGCGCAUAUGUUUGACGAUAUAUGGCAGUGAAAUACAUUCAAGAUGUAUGUAGAAUUUACACUUUAUGCAGCCAAACAAGGUGUCGUUACAAUCUGUACGACAUCUAGCACAUUUGGGAGAUGUUUUAACGAAAAUGCUUUUCCCCAAAUGUAGAAGAUGGUGACCAUGGCAAUUGUGCUUUAUCCUGCGAGUUUGGUAAUUAGCACAUGAAUAGUGCAAGCCAAACCGGCAUUCAAAACAAAUGAACGCGAUGUCUACAAUUCUGUCCCUGCAAAAUCUGCAUUCAGGAUAAUAACCCCCAGAUACGAGUGGAAAUGGGAGAAGAGGAUGUUGUGGGUGAAAUGGGCUUUCAACUUCCAUCAGCAUGUCCUUAAGACAGGAUUCAUGCAAAAAGAAUUCACAACCAAGGCAAGCAUAAACUAGACCAUACAGGUAUUGUCUGCAUGCCAUGCAAGACAGAUGAAACUCAGUUUGCAAUCUAUUAAUCUUGCAACGAGUUAGCUGAUGAUUGUGGCUGAAAUGAUAGAUUGUAGUUUGAAUUUCCCUCCCUUUAAGGGCCUCAUGUUUAGCAAGAUCAUCAUUUAAAGCAGCGCAUUUGCUCUCAAGGCUAAACAAACAUAGGUUACAGUUGUAAGAUAAACCGCGGCACAGUUCUCCACAUCCGUUACAUACAAAUAUAGUCUCUGGAUCAUUAUCAUUAAGUGUCAGUGGGUGAGGAUGAAAAGCAUUCUUUUGUAUUUCCUGACCAAAAAAAGGAAGCCGAUUACACAUUUUAUAAAAUAUAAUCAAUUAAUCAUUAUAUUAUACAUACACUAUUUUAUGUAUAAACACGAAUUUCAAAAUUAUAACUAGUAAAUGAUAUAUAUCUUGAAUAAUUUAUUUUAUUACCUAUUAAUUUUGUCCUUUAUUAAUGAUUUUUUAUUAAAUUAAAAUAUUGAUAAAUUUUUAUUAUUACUAGCUUGACUCAUUGUUGCUAGAUAAUAUUUGAUUUCUUCAGAUCUUAUGUCUUUAAUUGCUACUAGUUUUUAUUAAAUAAAAUAUAGAUUGAUUUUUAUCUAUUUAUUUCUUCAUUAAACCUUGAACUCUAUAUUAAAGCAAAUUGUUUUUAACAAAAUUUAAAUUUAGUUGUAUAAAAAAAUAAUAUUUUUAUUUUUAUUAAAUCAUUAAAAUGUUUAAAUAUCAUGAGAUUUACAUAACUGGAAUAGGUUUCAGUAACUUCUAACGUCCAAUUGAAAAUAUAUGAUGUUGCAAAUAUAUAUAUAUAUAUAUAUAUAUAUGUUUUUAUUGACUAAUAAUGAUAUCCUUUUACACGAAUGGUUAUAGGAAGUCGGAGAAUGAACCUCUAAUUUUGGGCAUUUUUGUAUUUUGCUUCCUUUUAUUUUUUUAUUAAAUUUAUAUAAUAUCUUGAUACUUAUAAUUUAUGUUAUGUAUAAUUAUAAAUAACUUAUAAAUAUUAUAAUUUUCAUAGAACUGACCAAAACUUAUAAUAAUAUAGAAAAGAGAGCUAAUAAGUCAAAUACAGUUUUGAUAUAUUAUUAAUAUAAUUACUAAUCAAUACUAUUUUUUUCAUUGGAAUUUUUUUGAUUUAAAUGAUAAAAAUGGCAGUAUAUAUAUAAUAAGUAAUAAUAAUUUUGUUUUUAAUUUAAUAGGUUUUAUGACUCAUAUUUACAUUUAUAAGUAAUUUAGACUGGUUUUUUGUAUUAGAACUGUUGAAGAUCCCUUUUUUUAUUUUAUAAGUUAUUUUUUCAUUGGUUAUGGAAUUACAUGUCUUUCAUAAUUAAUUAUUUUUUUAAUUUUUUGAUAACUUAUUAAUCAAACAUAUAUUUCAUAUAAAUUGAUAAAAUUAUUUGUAUGUAUCAUUGUUUUUUAUUUUUCUAAAAUGUAUUAUACUGAUAUCAUAUUAUAUUAAUUGUUUAUUUAUAUUAAAGUUCUCUAAUUAAGAAAGUUAUAACAAAAAUUUUGUAUAGAAAAUAGAAAAUUUGAAAAUUUAAUAAUAUAAAUUACUUUAAAAGAAUUAAUUUUUAUCAACUUAUCCAUUCUUACAAUUACUGUUUUCUAAUGAUAAUAAUAAAAUAUAUUUCCUCCAUCCCUUAAAUAAUGACUGAAUUUAAUUUUUUGCAGUAAAAUUUUUCAAUUUUGAUCUUCGGUAUUUUAAAAACUUUAUUAAACUAAAUUUUUAUAAAAAUAUGUUUGAAUUUAAUUUAUUCAGUGUUUUUGAACUGUUUUUGGUAUUUUAAUUUCUCCCGGGUUUGUUUGGGAUUUUGGUUACAUAUAUAUCAUUAAUUUAGAUAUCCAUUUAAUCCGGGGUCCUCGUCUUCAAAUUUCGGUAUUAAAUCCAGCAGUUUGUAAUUGGAUUUUGAUAUGGCCUAUUCGAAUUAAAGAUUAUUCGACUUGAGGCCAGAUUGGUUUUGGACAAUAGUCGGACACGGUUUGGGUUUUAAACCAAAAUGCCUAAAUUAUUUUUAUUUUUAUUUUAUUUCUUGUUUUUAAUUUUUAAUUUAUUAAUUAUUUAUCUUUAUUUUGAUUUUGAUAUUUGUCUUCAAUAUUAGUGAUUGACAUUUAUUUUUUAUGGGAAUUCUAAAACUAAGUUGUUCUAUAAAAUAUUUAAUAAAUUUGACAACAGAAAUUUUUUUAAAUGAAUAAAUGAUUUUAUUAAGUAACUCUUGAUUGCUAAAAAUUUUGUUAGGAAUUUCACAAAAUGGUAAGGAAGACUUAAAAUUUUUUUCAAUAUUUAAAUGACAAAACCUAGAUAAAAUAGAAGACUUUUUUAAAUAAAUAUAAUUAUUAAGAUAGUUUAAAAUUAAAUGAUACUAUUUUUAAAAUAAUCGUUCGUAAUUAGGGUAAGUAGAUCAAAACAUAUUUUUUUUAAGAACCAUUACUUAACUUUAAAAUAGGGUUUUAGCAUAAGGCUCUUAACAAUUCGCAGGUACACAAUCAUUAAAAUAGGGUUUUGGCAUAAGGUUCUUAGAGUUUCAAUUUAGGUGAUUGAAAGGGUUUAGGUUUUAAGACUUGAUCAAAAAGUUAAGUCGAAGACAUAAGCGUAUUUUGGUCUUAGGUGAUUUGGACAGAGACGAAAGGCUCUACUAGUAGUAGAAGAUUUUAGUUUUCGCUUUUAGAUCGAGGGUUUUCUUGGCCUUUUUUGCCAAAACUAAUUGGAUAGGAAGGAAAAGGGAAUCAAGUAGAAUUUUUGUCAUGAAAUUUGGUGAUAAUCCGACAUCGAUGAACGGCGAAUAGAAGUGAAGGAAGGCGGCUGCAACAAAGGAGGUUGGCUGGG
This 40826-nucleotide long non-coding RNA is filed under the name Durio zibethinus. RNAcentral describes it as "long non-coding RNA (DZIB_LNC002283)". The record is from RNAcentral. Lineage: Eukaryota; Viridiplantae; Streptophyta; Magnoliopsida; Malvales; Malvaceae.